CAGUAGCCGCGGGAAUACGUAGGUGGCAAGCGUUGUCCGGAAUUAUUGGGCGUAAAGGGCUCGCAGGCGGUUUCUUAAGUCUGAUGUGAAAGCCCCCGGCUCAACCGGGGAGGGUCAUUGGAAAUUGGGAAACUUGAGUGCAGAAGAGGAGAGUGGAAUUCCACGUGUAGCGGUGAAAUGCGUAGAGAUGUGGAGGAACACCAGUGGCGAAGGCGACUCUCUGGUCUGUAACUGACGCUGAGGAGCGAAAGCGUGGGGAGCGAACAGGAUUAGAUACCCGCGUAGUCCCUGUCUCUUAUAC
Molecule: ribosomal RNA, 301 nt
Filed under: uncultured bacterium
Lineage: Bacteria
Description: partial 16S ribosomal RNA
Rfam family: Bacterial small subunit ribosomal RNA
Source: RNAcentral